GCCUGAGUGGCGGAACAGGUAGACGCACAGGACUUAAAAUCCUGCGUGGUUAAUCCCACGUGCCAGUUCAAGUCUGGCCUUAGGCACCA
This 89-nucleotide transfer RNA is filed under the name Bacillota bacterium. RNAcentral's name for it is "tRNA-Leu". It matches the Rfam family "tRNA". Rfam says of the family: Transfer RNA (tRNA) molecules are approximately 80 nucleotides in length. The record is from RNAcentral. Lineage: Bacteria; Bacillati; Bacillota.